RNAcentral lists this ribosomal RNA (450 nucleotides) under uncultured Rhodoplanes sp. Its description in RNAcentral is "partial 16S ribosomal RNA". The record is from RNAcentral. Lineage: Bacteria; Pseudomonadati; Pseudomonadota; Alphaproteobacteria; Hyphomicrobiales; Nitrobacteraceae.
CACGAAGUUAGCCGGGGCUUCUUCUGCGGGUACCGUCAUUAUCUUCCCCGCCGAAAGGGCUUUACAACCCUAGGGCCUUCAUCACCCACGCGGCAUGGCUGGAUCAGGCUUGCGCCCAUUGUCCAAUAUUCCCCACUGCUGCCUCCCGUAGGAGUCUGGGCCGUGUCUCAGUCCCAGUGAGGCUGAUCAUCCUCUCAGACCAGCUACUGAUCGUCGCCUUGGUGGGCCGUUACCCCACCAACUAGCUAAUCAGACGCGGGCCGAUCCUUCGGCGAUGAAUCUUUCCCCGUAAGGGCUUAUUCGGUAUUAGCCCAAGUUUCCCUGGGUUGUUCCGACCAAAGGGUACGUUCCCACGUGUUACUCUCCCGCCUGCCGCUCCCCUUGCGGGGCGCUCGACUUGCAUGUGUUAGGCCUGCCGCCAGCGUUCGCUCUGAGCCAGGAUCAAACUCU